Molecule: long non-coding RNA, 820 nt
Organism: Rhea pennata
Lineage: Eukaryota; Metazoa; Chordata; Aves; Rheiformes; Rheidae
Exons: 6
Source: RefSeq, a predicted model, not a curated record
UGGAUCCAUUUAAGUCUUGAAUUCUUCUUACCAUUUACACCCGGAGAUGAUAAGACAAAUAUUCCCAAAUGCAUUGAUGACUUCCAGAAUGGACCAAAAGCGUAAAAGGCCUGCAGUCAUUGGCUCAAGUCUUGUGAUGUGCUGCUUAUAACUGGACAGGCCUGGAAGUGGUUUAGUGCCUUCCACUCCUAUUUUAAGUCAGAAACAACAGUAAGCUGAGCUGCCCUGAAGACUGAGUUGCUUUUCCAAAAGGAUGCUCAACUUGCAGCUGAGGUUAUUAACAAGAAGUUGCAAGGCGUGAGUUGAGAAGGUUUUCAGGAAGAAAAGGGAUGACUGAACAGUUAGAUUGAACAGCUGAAUAGUUCCUUGCCAAAUGCAGCACAUCUCUCCAUUAGCUAUGAGUAGCUAGAUGAUACCAGAAUUCAGAUAACAUAGAGACGAGUGCAUGGAGAAGCCCAGGAGGAAAUGGCUAAUUCCAUCUGCAGAGAAAGAUGUGAUGAGUGUGCAAUAAGUGAAGCCAUCAGCAAUACACUGAAUGACGAGGGGUAUUCUGGGGCAAAUAUAGCCACUGAAGCUGUGGGACGUAAGUGUUAUGUUUUCUCAUAUGUAUGUGUUAGGUUUUCUCAUAGGUUUUCAGCGUGUAUUUUGUGUUCAAACCAGCAAAGUAAUACUCUUACCAAAAUUCUGAAAAUCCAGUCUACUAGCAUAUUUUUAUUCUGUGCAAUUUGUUUACACCAUACAUUUAACUAAAAGCAGGUAAUAACCAAAAAGUCUGCUGGUUUCACUUUUGUUUUGACUUCCUUCUGACUCGUUUCACUUU